GACGAACGCUGGCGGCGUGCUUAACACAUGCAAGUCGAACGGAAAGGCCCUGCUUUUGUGGGGUGCUCGAGUGGCGAACGGGUGAGUAACACGUGAGUAACCUGCCCUUGACUUUGGGAUAACUUCAGGAAACUGGGGCUAAUACCGGAUAGGAGCUCCUGCUGCAUGGUGGGGGUUGGAAAGUUUCGGCGGUUGGGGAUGGACUCGCGGCUUAUCAGCUUGUUGGUGGGGUAGUGGCUUACCAAGGCUUUGACGGGUAGCCGGCCUGAGAGGGUGACCGGCCACAUUGGGACUGAGAUACGGCGCAGUCUCCAACGAGAGGCAGCAGUGGGGAAUAUUGCACUAUGGGCGGAAGCCUGAUGCAGCAACGCCGCGUGCGGGAUGACGGCCUUCGGGUUGUAAACCGCUUUCGCCUGUGAGGAAGCGUGUGUGACGGUAAUGUGUAAAGAAGCACCGGCUAACUACGUG
Molecule: ribosomal RNA, 468 nt
Filed under: uncultured bacterium
Lineage: Bacteria
Description: partial 16S ribosomal RNA
Rfam family: Bacterial small subunit ribosomal RNA
Source: RNAcentral